RNAcentral lists this ribosomal RNA (481 nucleotides) under uncultured bacterium. RNAcentral describes it as "partial 16S ribosomal RNA". It matches the Rfam family "Bacterial small subunit ribosomal RNA", at positions 30 to 507 of the family's 1533-position model. The record is from RNAcentral.
AUUGAACGCUGGCGGCAUGCCUUACACAUGCAAGUCGAACGGUAACAGGUCUUCGGAUGCUGACGAGUGGCGAACGGGUGAGUAAUACAUCGGAACGUGCCCGAUCGUGGGGGAUAACGAAGCGAAAGCUUUGCUAAUACCGCAUAAGAUCUACGGAUGAAAGCAGGGGACCGCAAGGCCUUGCGCGAACGGAGCGGCCGAUGCAGAUUAGGUAGUUGGUGGGAUAAAAGCUUACCAAGCCGACGAUCUGUAGCUGGUCUGAGAGGACGACCAGCCACACUGGGACUGAGACACGGCCCAGACUCCUACGGGAGGCAGCAGUGGGGAAUUUUGGACAAUGGGCGAAAGCCUGAUCCAGCCAUGCCGCGUGCAGGAUGAAGGCCUUCGGGUUGUAAACUGCUUUUGUACGGAACGAAAAGACUCUGGUUAAUACCUGGGGUCCAUGACGGUACCGUAAGAAUAAGCACCGGCUAACUACGUG